Molecule: long non-coding RNA, 1132 nt
Organism: Capra hircus (goat)
Lineage: Eukaryota; Metazoa; Chordata; Mammalia; Artiodactyla; Bovidae
Exons: 4
Source: RefSeq, a predicted model, not a curated record
AUGUCCACACAUAUGACAGAUUCAAGUUGAUCAGAGGAUAUCAUCAUCUUCAUGAAAAAACAGGAAAUUAGAGACCACCAAUUUGCUCCAAAUAGAUUUGCAUGGAUCUAUCAGAAUAUUACUUCAGACACAGUUGACUUUCAAGGAUGUGUUCAUAGAUUUCACUCCUGAGGUAUGGGAAUGUCUGAACCCUGCCCAGAGGACCUUGUACAAGGACGUGAUGGUGGAGACCCUCAGGAUCCUGCUGUCUGUGGGCAUAGAACCACCAGGAUGUUAAGGAAAUUAAAUAAAUUGUCGUGUUGAGGCUUCAAGACAAAGCAGUGCAUUCCUCUGCCCUUCCUUCUAACCUGUCUGGACACACCCUGACUGCAGACUCUUUACUGCUGAGCCAGCUGGGAAGCCCCAAAUAACAAGGUGAGUCUUUAAAUUUUAAUGAUAGAUAUUCCAAUUCUAGCAUCAAGGCAGGAAAAUGAAAAAUACUCAUUUUUGAAAUGUCAUUUGUACCACUCUACCUGAAAGUGAGAGAUAAACGCUUGUAGUUGGGAAAUUAUUUUAAAUUUUUAUUAUGUAAACUUUUUAGGUUUGUUUUGAAAGGCAUGAAACGGUUUUUUUCUUACAAUCUUUAAUUUUUUUUCUUUUUUAUUUCCACAUAUAAAUUUUCAGUAAAGUUCACUCUAAUGUAAUGACUUCUUCACUCUUAUGAUAACUUCACAAACAUAGCCAUGGGUAUUCUUAAUUUCUCAGCCACUGUGCAGCAAGGCCAGGCCAUGAGACCAGUUUUGCCAAAUACAGUGUGAGUGCAAGUGAUGCAUUACUCAUCUGAAUGAUGUUAUAAAUAAAUCACCCAGGAAACUCCCUGAUGAACCAAUGGUUUGAUUUCUGUGCUUUCGCUGCCUGGAGGGCCUGAAUUCAGGCUCUGGUCAGGGAACUAACAUUCUUCAAGCUGCAUGGCAUGUCAAAAAAAAAAAAAAUCACUAAGACCCUUUGUCACUCCCCAACUGGAUUAAUUGACCCAAAUGUGACCUAACUAUUGCUCCAAGCAAUUACUGAUGCAAUAUCAGUAGUUUUCUGCCAGCCUGUAAAUUGUUUUUUUAACUUAUGGUCUGUUUAAUGUGAGGAUGAUUCAUUUGUU